Molecule: non-coding RNA, 7634 nt
Organism: Vicugna pacos (alpaca)
Lineage: Eukaryota; Metazoa; Chordata; Mammalia; Artiodactyla; Camelidae
Source: RefSeq, a predicted model, not a curated record
UGUGGCAAAUGUUAGGGGAGUAUCGGGCGACAGCGGCCCCACUUUAGGUCGUGUGGUCAGGCGUCUGCCGUAGGCAGCCCGAUCCUAGUAGGGGUCCUCGGCCGGCUGGACUAGAAGGCCAAGGGGGCGUCUCCCUGGCUUCCUGCGGCGUCUGUGGCGAGCUGAGGUGGAAGCAGGCUGCGGCAGCGAAGGCGACGGUGGUGUCGGCGGCGCCAUGGCAGGGCUCACAGGAUCCCUGCUGCCUUGGUGAUCCCGGGCUGACAGCCAGAGAGCACAGCGGCUCAGCUCCUGGAGAGCGAGGGUUGAAGAAAGCGGAGGGCAGCCGCCCGCGCCGGCUGGCUCCCAUUAGGUCGGUUCCUGCAGCGGUGCCCGGUGGCCUUGGCGAAGGCCCUGUCCAGCAGAGAUCAUGUAUUGCCUCCAGUGGCUGCUGCCUGUCCUCCUCAUCCCCAAGCCCCUCAACCCCGCCCUGUGGUUCAGCCACUCCAUGUUCAUGGGCUUCUACCUGCUCAGCUUCCUCCUGGAACGGAAGCCUUGCACAAUUUGUGCCUUGGUUUUCCUGGCAGCCCUGUUCCUCAUCUGCUAUAGCUGCUGGGGAAACUGCUUCCUGUACCACUGCUCCGAUUCCCCGCUUCCAGAAUCGGCGCACGACCCCGGCGUUGUGGGCACCUAACAGCCAGCCCAGUUAGCUUUCCAAGGAAGCAGAAGACGGGAGGGGAGGCAUUGACAUAGGUCAUAAAGCAUUGGAGUUUCAAAUCCCGCAGCCCCGCGGGUGCCACAUUCCUGACAACGCCUUUUUGGCCUGUGAUGUUUUAUCCUUAUAAUGUGAAUAAUGGCACUGACCGGUGCUUUUAUUGUAGAGUCCUGUAGUCGUGGGUGGUCUUGUGGUUGUGUGUGUUCUGUCCCCACCUUGGCCCCCAGCUGGCAGGAUGGCCACCUCCCUUGCCUCAUUCCUGCGAGGGGUCUGCACCCAUCCUGGUCAACUGCCCUAGCAUGACCCGGGCAAAUAAUAUGCCAGUAUCAUUGUCGCCUCUGUGACCCCUCCCUGUCAGGGGGUCCUCCCUUGUCAGAGUUACUGACUCCUCUGCCCCUCUCCUGGCUUCCUGUUAACUUCACUUCUAUCCCUUUCCUUUUUGGGGGAGCACCUGUCUAAGACAGGGCUCGUUUUUGCACUUAUCUCGAACUUAAAGAGAUUGCUGACGCCCGAGAGCCUCGCUUUUUCAUCCUUCUUCCCUGGCCAGCAGGCUAGACAGAAAUGUGUCUUGACCGCUGUCUACAAAUCUUCAGUAUUUUCUUCACUUCAUUUUUAAGAAAGAAGUAACAGAUACGUGUUGCUCUUUCACCUAGGGGCCUGGGCACCUCCUUGGCAGCCCAGCUUCACUUCCCUUGCCCUUCCUCCUGCCUCUCUCAGCCAUCGAGAGGAGUAGGGGGCCUCAUUCUGUCUCCCAUGCAUGCUCUGCAGGAUUGAAGUGUGAUGUGUUUACGUAGAUCUAGCAGUCCCCAGCUGAGUGAAUGGGAGAGUUCUUGUGUAUUUCAUAACAGCCAUGAUCCCCUCUAUAGGUGUUUGGGUAUUUUUUGGUGUGCUGUGCGUGCGUGUGUGUAUAUGUACGUGUAGAAGUACAUGUGUAUAUCCCUUUUAAAGAAGCUUUAUCGAACGUGUUCUGAUGUUGAGGUGUAGCAAUAGCUAGCUAUAUAGUAGGUGCCGCUACAGUUUUUAUUUAGCAUGGGGAUUGCAGAGUGACCAGCUCACUGGACUCCGAGGUGGUUCAGACAAGACAGAGGGGAGCAGUGGCCAUCAUCCUCAUGCCAGGAGCUUCUCCAGUCCUGCACUUAGAGACUGUACAUUCUGAAGAAUACACAGGAAGACUUUGUGACUGUCACUUGCUUUUUUUCUUUUUCUGCGCUUCAGUAAAAGUGUUGGCGAACGAGACUGUCUCCUGGCCCCUGCCCACUGGGGAUCAGCAUGAUUGUCCUUCAGUCUAAACCAUCCAUCUUCCUCUCGCCUGCAGGGCGGGGGAGGGAGGUGGGCCAGGCAGAGGGCAGAACUGGAGGCAGUCCAUCUAGGGAAUGGGACCGCAAGGCCACACUUGUGGAACAUUUGGACUGCUAUUCUGGAGCUUUUAUUUCUGGUGUGUUCGUUGCACAGCUGUUUGAAAUGUUUAAUAAAGCUUUAUAAACUUUACCCUGUGGUUUUAUGUGGCUGCAGUCCAUUUGGGUCGUGGUGUUGGAUUUCUAAGUUGGUGGGGGGCAAAGGGGUAGCAUGGAGGGGCUGAGUCCUUGGCGCCAGAGUACCUUAGCCCAAAAAUUUGAUCUGCUCUCUGGAGAGCAGAUGGUGGGAUUGGGGAGGGGGGGGAGCAGGGGGCAGGCCAGGCGUUGAACAGGAGGGAAGCUGAAAGUUUUCAGGGAUGAGACAUUUGUGUUUCUCAGCUCCCAUGGCUUCUCGCCUGAAACUGUUUCCCUCCGUAGGAGAUUUGAGUAACCGAUCCCUUGACAAACAACUUAAGACAGCUGGAGCUCUAAUCAUCAAGGAUUUUUAUGGUGCUGCUUUUGAAGUAAAAAUAAAGUGAAACCCCUUAUGGCAUUUCAAGUGGAAAAAUAAAUAAAGCUGUCCGUCCAGGCAGGGGGCUUUGGGCAAUGGCUGGAAGCUCGGGAGUGCGCGGUUCUGUGCCGUUGGUGCACACGUGCUCCCAUGGCUGUGACCUUGGGGACCAAGCCAGGGGGCUUGUCAGGGCCCUGUGCUGGUUGUCCACCUCUCGAUCUUUUUUCCUUUUAGAAAACAGAACAGGAGCACUGCCUGCCCAAGGCACAAGGCUGUUUGUGAGGGUUUAUUGAGAUAACAGUGGUGAAAGGGUGAUGGUCAUUUCACAGAAAGUCAUCCGUUUUACCUAGAUUGCUAAUUUAUUGCUGUAAAGUUUUGUGUAGUUUUUUCCUGCUCUUUUCAAUCUCUCCGUUGUCAGUUUAUCCCUUUCUUCAUUCCUACCAUUGCCUAUCAGUGUUUUCCCUUUUCUUGGUCAAAACUUGCCAAAGAUUUCUUCAUUUUAAAGGUAUUUUCUGAGAACCAAACUUUUAUUGAUUGUAUCUGCUGGGUAUUUUUCCUGUCUGGUGCUUUUGUGUUUUUAUUUCUGAAUUCUUUUUUCUGGGUUUCUGAAUAUAUUUCGUGGUUCAGCAAAGCCUCAACAAGCUGAGGAGUCGUGCAUGUGGAAAGGAUGGUUUGUUCUGCAAACAUUGAGCCCCUGUACUGGGCUUGUUGGGGAUUUCAGGGGCAAGACGCAGGCCUGGCUCUCCAGGAGUGCAUGGUUCUAGCCUAGUGGGAGGACUUAAGAAAAUAGACAACUGCAAAUUCCAAAAACAAACAAACAAAAAAGGCUUUUGUGGCCAUGCUCUCCCAUGGAGGCACCUGGAUGAUAAAUGAAGCCAAGAUUAUUGCUUAUUUUGCUCUCCCUCAGAAAGCAGCUUUCUGUCAUAGGUCAAGCUCACUAAAGAGUCACAAACAGGCCUCCCUCUGAAAGAUUUGUAUCCCUUUCCAGCAGGAAGCCUGCAGCCCACCCCCUCCCAAGGUGACUGCCAAAUCAGCAUUCUGCCUGCCCAGCAUUGCUUUCCACCUUGCCAAGGCAACACCGGCAGCACCCUGCCCCCUCUUCCUGAACCGCCUUUCAGGAAAAUGAGAAGUAGAUAGAUACCUUUUCUGCGGGGCACCAGGCCUUAGAAAACCAUGCCCUGCAAUUCUGCCGGUCACUGGCUCCUAGUGUGAAAAUGUUGCUCACGUGGUACCUGGUAACACAAGGUCCUGUGAGGCCUAGGUCUGGGCUUCUUUAGCAACUGGUCUGUGUCCUGCUCUGGGCCUCAGUUUCCUUAUAGCUAAAAUGUCUUUGGAGCAAACACAGUCUUCCUAGCCCUAAUAUACUGGGAAUCCUUUCUUCUGGGGUCUUUGGGACCUCCUGGAUGCACUUGAGGAAGGUGACUGAGCUCUGGGAAGGUCGCAGUGCCCUUGCAGGACAGCCUGCAUGUGCUUGAUGCUUUAGUCAUUGUGCCGUGUUUGCCCAGAUAUUCCUCUGUCAGGAAGCCUUCCUGGGCUUCUUCCCUCUCCCUAGAGAUCCACUUGUCUAGAUUACUUCACUUAGCCCUCUGUUGAGUGCUAUAGUGCAGACUGUCUGGGCUCCCCCCACCUUCCUAAGGGGCUUGCAUUGUUAUUUAAUCCAAGGGUACGUUUCAGAAUCUUGUGUAGGACUAGGCCUUGGGGCUGCAGGGUAGAUGAGGUGGACAGUCUUUGCUGUCAGGGAGUCAUUGAGGCUAAUGAGAAAGGGGGUGACACUGGGCAGAUAAUCCCACAGAUAGAUAUAACUAUGGACUAUGGCAGGUGCCAUAAGAGGAGUCUAGGAGGGGAUCUGGUGUAGUCUAGGGAGGAUUGAUGUUCAGGCUGAGACUUGAGGACAACUAUAAAUGUUUGAGCAGUGAAAUAAUAAAUGAGAUGUUAUUUCUCACCAUCUAAUCAAGCAUCUGUGCUUUAAUAAAGAGACUGGGCUAAAAGUAAAAUGAAGGACCACCAGUAUCGGCUGCCUUAGAGGGCUGCCUUGGGAGACAGUGAGGGAGUCUAAGGUUGACAUGUUGGUGGCAGGCCCCUAAACUCAGUCCUGAGUGAAAAAUCUUCAGUUUCCACUUCCAGGAAGCAUCACAGACAGGGAUCUGAUGGGAACAGGGGGUGCCCCAGUCAGAACAACAUUUAAUUGAAGGUGGCAUUCUCUGAGGAGGGAGCAGGCUAGCAUUUGAGCAGUGAAAGCAGCGGGGCUUUGUGACAGCAGAAGGCCAUUGUGUUGUCGAGAUCCUUGGAGGUGGGAGAGGUGGAUCAGAGGAGCCAUGGUGGUGAGGAGGGGAAGGCAGGAGAAGGAGUGGGUUAGGGAGGGAGGACAGAGAAAGAUGAUGGACAAAAGCUGGCUCUCGUUGAAGAGAUACAGGAAAUGGGGCCAGAGAUGGGUCGUCACUUGCAUUCAGUCAGCUGGCAGGGCCAGAACCCAGCCUCCUGGCAUCAAGUGGGAAGCUCAGCCCUCAUCCCCCGUAAUGGGUGAAAGGGUCAGCGCUCUGAAAAGAGGGAGGAACCCAGCAGUCUGUCCUCAGCAAGUGAAGGAAGGCGAUUCUGACUAAAACCAGAAGAGUGGUUGAGCUUGGUCUGCCAGGCUUCGAGGGGGAGAAUUUCAUAUCUUGAGAAAAACUGAUUAUCAAGUGGACUCAAGGCAGGGGGAGCAGCUGGCUAUGCAGCAGCUGAAGGCUUCAGGCAAAAGCCCUUGGUCUCCCUUCGGAGUGUCAGGACUCUGAGUAGCGGGUGGUCUUGGGGAACAGUUUAGGACCAAUGAGCCUGGAGAGGUGAGGUUUCAGGGCCCUGUGCCCCUGACUUUGUAACCAUACCUCCCUAAGCCUCAGUUUCCUCACCGGUAAAAUGGAGAUCCUAACAUCCACUGGAGCCUGACUCGGUUAUUUCUUCUCUUCUAUGCCCCCACCCCGACCUGUGGGGCUCAGACCUCUUAGGGAUGCAGGCAGAUCAUCCAACUCUCCCACUCAUUCCUGCUGGGAGCCUUUGUCAGGCCCUGUGCCAAAGCUCUGAGAACCUGAUGCAGAAGAAGACUGCGCUUCUUGAGGAGCUCAGCUCGACAGGAGGGAGGGCACCGAGGCAGGCCCAUAGGCAGAUAAUUACAACGCUGUUUCAUCAGGGCUGGAGUGGAGUUAGGGAGAGACAACAUUUGGGAGGCUGUAUGUCAGCACCUGCCCCAAAAUGACAGUAUCCUAAAAGGGAGAGGAGCACCAAGGCAUAGCUCUUUCCUGAGAGGCCAGAGUCUAACUUUGCAUCCCUGCUUGGUCACCAGCUUGCCCAGGGCUAUCCACAAAUUUUUAUUCUCUUAGAGAGAAAUCACUGCCUGUUCAGCCUCCUCCUCAUGAGGGAACCAGUGCAGGGCUGUGAGAGUGCUCUGUCAGAUACAGGUUGAACAUGAAUCUUCUCCAAAGACUAACCCCUUGAGUGGUUCUGGCCUCUCAUCUCUUUUCCUGGGCAGCUUGUGGAGUCUACACUUGGACGCCUCACCACUUCUUCCAAAGCUGAACUCUGCCAAUCCCCGCCCCACACUGGUAGUGACCGCCCUCUAGGGCAAGGGCAGAGAGCUGAGGCCCUGGGCCUGAUCCCCACCCACUUCCUCUGUGGCCUUGCUCUCCUCUGCCCGCUCUUCUCCAGGCCCAUUUUCCUGUCUGUACACCAAGGAAGGGCUGGACCAGAAAGUCUUUAACGUUUCUAAAGCCAUUUUCUGUGAAAUAUCAGUGAACUUUAUCCUUGUCACUGCAGUCUUAGAGGUACUGGUUGAAAGAAAGUAUGUUAAACAAGGGUUUCAUCAAAGGAUUUUUUGCAUUGAAGAAUAAACUUUACAUCUUGUGGGUGCAGAACAGUCAAGAAUCUUAGCUUAGAGUCAAAGUAGACUUGGGAGGGUCUCUGAGGAAAGAAGACAAGCAUAGCUUUUCAGUGGUUCGCUGUUGCCUGUGGUCCCAGCUCUUUAGCUUGGCCAUCAAGGCCUGCACAACCCUUGAGGCUAGGGGCUUGAUCUUUGUCCCUUGAUGAGACACACUACCUGCCUGACCAAGGCUGGCAUAGAACCUGCUGGUUGGCUGGCCAAGGGGUGGUUGGAUGACUAGAUGGCUAGAUGGCUCAAUCAGUCUCUAGACUCCAUAAGGAAUUAAAUGGCCCAGUCUUUCAGAAGUGAGGGAAUUCAGUUUGUUUCCCAAGUCUCCUCUUGGCAACUCAGAAGUAACAAUAUUUUCCAGCCUCCAGACUAAUAUUUUACACACCGGUAUCGCAGACACUAAUAUGUCACAAAAGGUAUAUGAAAAGAGCCUCGUAAAAGGUUGACAGCUUGGCAUCCUUCCUGUGGCAACAGGGGGCUGUGAGUCACCUCCCCUUACUGGGCCUCAGUUUCCCCAUUUGUAAAAGGAGGCAAUUGGACUACAUAAUCUUUGAGUUCCUUUCUAGCUCUAGCAUCGCCCUCAGAUGCCCUGGUACCUAGAGCAGUAAAUGGACAAGGUGCAUUAGCCCCAGGAUCUGGGUCAAGUCCACAUCUUGGAGCGUGGAGGAAUCGCAGUGAUGGCUGCAGCCCCCUGGAAGAUGAACGUGGCAGGAACUGGCUGAGAGAUUUUUCUGCUGAUGGUGAAAUGUCCUGCCAGAGUCUAUGCAGACGUGGUGUGUACACACCGGAAGUGUUGCUCUCAGUGCACCCUACAGGACUUCCAGUGUAGCUGGUGUGCCGCAGCGUUCCUUGCAGCUGAUGACGGGUGGCGGCUGAUUUGAUUUCCUUGUUUCCUAUUGACUGACUAUUCAAAUGUUUCCAGUGUCGUCCCAUUAAGACAAACCUCUGAUGAUUGCAACAUGAUGGACUGACUAGUUCAUUUUUUCUCCACGGAUCUGAAGUGAAGCUCCCUCGUGUACUGAAUCACGGUGUCUAGGUGCUGUUGGGUGAAAAUGUGAUGCUUGGAGCUCUGACAGCCAUCUUGUGACCAGGAGGGGAAGGCCAGGAGAUGCAGCUCUGUGCUGACUCAGCGUGGACACCUGGCACCAUUGACUUCUGGACUUUCUUUGAAAUAAAUAAAUGUUCUUACUGUUUAAGCCA